Molecule: ribosomal RNA, 460 nt
Filed under: uncultured bacterium
Lineage: Bacteria
Description: partial 16S ribosomal RNA
Rfam family: Bacterial small subunit ribosomal RNA
Source: RNAcentral
CCUACGGGAGGCAGCAGUGAGGAAUAUUGGUCAAUGGACGAGAGUCUGAACCAGCCAAGUAGCGUGAAGGAUGACUGCCCUAUGGGUUGUAAACUUCUUUUAUAAAGGAAUAAAACGAGGCACGUGUGCCUUUUUGCAAGUACUUUAUGAAUAAGGAUCGGCUAACUCCGUGCCAGCAGCCGCGGUAAUACGGAGGAUCCGAGCGUUAUCCGGAUUUAUUGGGUUUAAAGGGAGCGUAGAUGGGUUGUUAAGUCAGUUGUGAAAGUUUGCGGCUCAACCGUAAAAUUGCAAUUGAUACUGGUAGUCUUGAGUACAGUUGAGGUAAGCGGAAUGCGUGGUGUAGCGGUGAAAUGCUUAGAUAUCACGAAGAACCCCGAUUGCGAAGGCAGCUUACUAAACUAUGACUGACAUUGAUGCACGAAAGUGUGGGUAUCAAACAGGAUUAGAUACCCUGGUAGUC